Long non-coding RNA from Ostrea edulis (European flat oyster), 2339 nucleotides. RefSeq lists it as uncharacterized. Lineage: Eukaryota; Metazoa; Mollusca; Bivalvia; Ostreida; Ostreidae. The transcript has 2 exons. The record is from RefSeq and is a predicted model, not a curated record.
UAUUAAAAUAUUGCAACGUCUGACAUGUCAUAAUAGAGAUGGUCUUAUUCUAUAACCGUAUUAUAAUUUUAUUAAGAUUGAUAAGUAUCUAUCAUAAUUCACAGUAUUGUCCUAGUCAUGGGAUAUUUCAGUAUCCGUACGGGUUGUCUUUCCUAACACCGGGUUUUCCACGUUCUGUUAGAUCUUUUAAAAUUGUCUUCGUCUGAACUAAUGGUGUACAGCGAUAAUUUGCCGUGUGUUUUCCUUCUCGGUAUACUUUUAUACACGGAAACAUUUACCUUUAUUUUCUGAGUAUUUUGUGUUUGCACGGCAGAUUGUGACAUGUUUGAUUGUAACUUUAUAGUUAUUUAUUAACUCAUCUUGACAUUAGACAUCUCGUCAAUAUCAAUAUCUAAUGGUUGUUUAUCGUAAAGAAGAUAUACGUCAUACCCCAGGCGCAUAGUCACUGUUUAAUAAGAUCAGAUUGAUUAGCUGCAGGACAGAAGCCCCCUGGGAAAAAUUGGGACUUGGGAUUUUGAUCAUUCCAUGCAGUUGGACCUCAUUUACCACGUAUUGUUGGUUUGAGUAAAUAACGAAAAUUGGAAUAGGGCCUUGUGUAAAAUUAACUCGACUUGUUCACAAAAGCAAUCUGCAUUUGGAAGACACUCAUGUCUUUUUGAUUCUAAAAUAGCUGAAUUUUUUAAAAAUAAUAUUUGAAAAACAAAUUAGAUGGGCUCAAGUAAUGUCUCACGAAGAGUUCGGGUUGUGUCUGAUGAAGAGUUUGUGACCUAGAACGACACACUCGUGGGACAUCAUUCAUCCAUGUGUUUUCAAAAACACGCACACAGUUGAUGUAGAACGCAAACUUUAUUUGUCUUGGCCUUACAAUCCGUCUUAAUGCCAGCUUUCUCAUUAUUUCACAAAGAAUGUAAUUACCUGAUGGGUUUUCCUCGUAGGUGUAGGAUUAAAUUUCCGAUUUUAAUAUUCAUCAAGGCUUUUUGUUUUGUAAGACUUUGUCAAAAGGUAUUGUCUCGAGUUUGAACGGUUUGUCAAAAAAUUGAAAAGGUUCGUGUUGUGUAAAUCGAGGGAUCUGAUUACUUUUCAUUCCUAAUACAGCAACACAAAGACAACUAAGUGUUCGUAUCAUUAUAGUUUGUUAAUUCAAUCAUAGCUUAUAUUUCUAUUUUGUUAAUUCAAUCAUAGCUUAUAUUUCUAUUUUGUUAAUUCAAUCAUAACUUAUAUUUUUAUUUUGUUAAUUCAAUCAUAACUUAUAUUUUGUUUUGUUAAUUCAAUCAUAACUUAUAUUUUUAGUUUGUUUAGUCAAUUAUUAAUUCAAAAUGUUGACGAAAGUAGUAUAAUUUCAAGAUAAUAUCACACUGAAAGUUACGUCAUUAAAUCAUGUAUUUACACUCCAUCUGAUUAAAAUCAGAUCCUUUGAUCUGCUCACGUAGAUCCUUGUGUUGCGAUAUAUGUGACCGGAUCAAAGGAUCUGAUUUUAAUCGGAUUGAUUUAAACUCAACUAUAGUAUUGGGCAUAAUCUUUACGCAAGACACCAUUCUUGCAAGUGUGAUAUGAAUGGGAUGAAUAACGUAGUUUAAAUAUUCGACAAAGAAUUUUCGGGAUUCUCCUCACUUUGACCUUCACCUGACUUUGACCUUCACCUCUCACCUGUGACGUAAAAGAUAGAUAGGAAUCAAGAACUUUAUUCAAGGCCUCAUUGUUGCAAGUUUGAUAAAACUCGGGAGAUAGAUGUAGAUGAAUGAACGAAGGAACAAUUGACCGACUCAUAAUGCAAGUCAUGUUCUAUAUACCUGUUAAUCCAUUGUAUGAUCAAUCCUGGCCUACCCAUAUUGACAAGCCCGUGGGGAUCCGGGUUAGAAUAGGUCAUCAGUACUUCUUGCUUGUCGCAACUAAAUGGGGCGAUCCUUCGGACGAGACCGCAUACCUAAGGUCCCGUGUAACAGCAGGUGUGGUGCGAGAAAGAUCCCUCCCUGCUCAAAGGCCGUAAGCGCCGAGCACAGGCCAAACUUUUGCAGCCCUUUACCGGCAAUUUUGACGUCUCCAUAUGAGUGAAAUAUUCUUGAGUGGGACGUUAAACAAUGUACAACCACUCCAUAUUGACGAUCGAGGAUGUCAGCCUGCUCUUUUCCCAACAUUAACCUGGUAUUUCCAGCUUAAAAUGGCAAACAGUGCUUUUCUACCUUGCUUCGCUGCAUGUUUUUGCAUAUUUAAAGGGAAAGGCAACCCAAAAGAUUUUUACAUGAUAAAUGAUAGGAUUAAUCAUAUGAUAAAGAUUUGUCAUACAAUUCUGUUGAUAUAUGGCCUAGAUAUGCCUCAGUACUAAUUUGAAAAUGUCAAAA